UACGGAGGGGGCAAGCGUUAUUCGGAAUUAUUGGGCGUAAAGGGCGCGUAGGCGGCCAUUCAAGUGACGGGUGAAAGCCCUCGGCUUAACCGAGGAACUGCCUGUCAGACUGGAUGGCUUGAGACCGGGAGAGGUGAGUGGAAUUCCCAGUGUAGCGGUGAAAUGCGUAGAUAUUGGGAGGAACACCAGUGGCGAAGGCGGCUCACUGGACCGGAACUGACGCUGAGGCGCGAAAGCGUGGGGAGCAAACAGG
Molecule: ribosomal RNA, 253 nt
Filed under: uncultured bacterium
Lineage: Bacteria
Description: partial 16S ribosomal RNA
Rfam family: Bacterial small subunit ribosomal RNA
Source: RNAcentral